AACUAGGAAACUUCCAGCCAUUGUUUGUGCCUUUGACCCUCUGGCUCCCUCCACGCUGAUGAAAGGCACCCUUUUGUCAACCUGAGGCUUGAAAGUGACCCUGGGUCGAGACCUGCCGGCUGGUUUCUUUUGUGUUUUCUUACUUUUCUGGCUCCUUCCUUCCUUCAUUCCAUCAGGGGAAGCGCUGCUUUUUCCCCAAGCAGAUCCCACCCCCACGGAUGGUUGGGGCCGCAUUAAGCCCCUGACCCAGUGCAUGGGCGGGCGUCACCUCGAGCUCUUCCUGUUCAGAGCCCAGCUGGAACCGAACAGGCGCGCAUCUAAUGUUUGUGGAAUGAAUACAGGUGGGUGGCUCCCCAAGCUUGUCUCUGAAGGCUCCGCAAGACAUCCUCAGGUUUGAAUCCUAAGCUUGUGAACAAAUGCAUGGCGGGCUAAUCAGUAUUCCAGAAAGAAAGCCGUCUCCAGCUCCCGGACAUGACCGGCGUGGCCGGGAUGGGACACGCUCUCCAGAGGCUACGAGUUCGCUGAUGGCUCCACCGUCCACCGAUUUGGAAGGAGAACCUGAUGGUUAAUUUGGAGUCAAUUAAAUCUUAAUACUUACCCUUGGAUAAACUCAGAGCCUGGGACAG
This 626-nucleotide long non-coding RNA is filed under the name Sus scrofa (pig). RNAcentral describes it as "lncRNA (ENSSSCG00070022584.1)". The record is from RNAcentral. Lineage: Eukaryota; Metazoa; Chordata; Mammalia; Artiodactyla; Suidae.